AGCCUACUCCUCGAAUGGUUGAACUCGGGAAUGACUCGUUGGCUCAUCCGGGAAUGGAAGAGGCUCUCUUCAUCACCAUUGUUGCAAGCUCGAAGCUUUCGAUCGAAGGCGGCACUGGAAGCCCUAACCAAGGCUUCAGAGGAAAGAGUCCCAAACAUCGUGCUCUACAACUACCCGUCCUUCUCUGGAGCCUUCUCUGCUCUCUUCGCUCGCCUCUUCCAUUCCCAUCUCAACCAUCCCUGCCUCAUCUUGCCUUUCUCUUCCGUCGAGCCAUUCAGGGCUGAGGAUUUCUUUGUGGAAGGGCUUGAGAAGUGCUACUUUCUCGAUUUUCUUGGGCCGAAAGGAUUUGCGAUUGAGUUGUCGCGGCAAUCAUCAUGCCAUGUUAUAGGCUUCGAUCACCGAAAGUCAGCACAUUCAAAGGUUCCUUCCCCGGAAGAUUGUAUUGAGAACGUUACAUGCUUUGUUGAUAUUGAGAAGAGUAGCUCAACCGCUGUCUAUGAAUAUUUUUCUGCUGGCCUUGCAGAUUUAAAAUCUCCUGAUGGAGAAGUUGUGAGCUUAAUAAGGCCAAAAGACCAACAUCGCGUGGAAAUGGUUCUCAAGUACCUGGCGGAUGUGGACCUGCGCCAAUGGAACUUACCAGACAUAAGAGCAUUUAACAUUGGACUUGGUGAAUGGCGCUCAAAGUUGAACUGCAUUACUAAUCCAUACAUGUAUGAGCAGUUGCUGGAGAUAAGUUCCGUGGAUUUAAUUUCCAAAGGAAAUUCUUAUAUUUCUUCUCGAAUGAGUGCUUCAAAGAAGUUGCUGGAUAAGGUUUUCAAAGUUCGAUUGGGCAGAGGAUUUUAUGGAGUGUGUCUGGGUGUUAGGGUUGAAGGGAAUUCCAACUUAAGCAAUGAAAUAGGCAAGCAACUGAGUGAAAAGAGUGCUGCAGCUGGUUUGAGGCCCAUAGGAGCUGUUAUUUUCAUGCAGCGCAAUAAUCUGAAAAUGUGCUUGAGGAGUACUGAUAGUGCUACUGAUACCUCUGAAGUGGCAAAGGCAUAUGGUGGAGGUGGCUCCAUGAGUUCAAGCUCCUUUAUGAUAAGGAUGGAUGAAUUUAAUCAGUGGCGUUCGUCAUGAACAUUUAGGGGAGGAGGUUAUAUCAAGCCCAAGCACAUUAAUUAGCUUCAAUUAAGGUUUGGCUGUUUUUAAGCUUCAGAUCAAUAUAUCUAAGCUGGACGAAGGAUAGGAGAGGGGGAAAAGCAGCAAAACGCAAAGAAAAGCAAAAGAAAUGAAGCAGAUUCCAGGAGAUAAGGUGUGGGCAGGGCGUAACAGUGUGUGGCCGUUAUGGCUCCGUAACUGCCGUUACGGCCGUGUACUUUGAGCUCGCCACAUUAGCAGCCUGUAAUGGUGUCGGAGCCUUCAAAAAUACAUUACCUAUGUUGUUUAAUGCCAUGCACCACUAUCCGUUGUCUUGCUGUGGCCUGAUACAAAGGUCUCCUCCAUCCCCCAGCGUGCAUGUGCACUAGCAUCUGUCUUGCGUGGAGUAUCAAACUGGUACGCAACUUGGACAAGGACAUGCGGUGAAUUAUUGAGCCAACAGGACAUGGUCAUUGCCCAGAAAAAGCCAUAAAUUAUGAUUACCCUGCUGUGACUGCACAAAUACUUCGCCAUUUUUAGGGCCAUAAUUUCAUAAUGUCUUCCCCCACUGCCUCAGCCCUAGUUAGUUUUGGUCUUCCACCUUUUUCUUUCACACUUUGCUCCUCUGCACACUAUGGUUAUUGAAGCAUUACACACACUUGAUAAGCGCAUCUUCACUUCAGUACUUUGCUCCUUUUUAUAGGCAAUGAUCCCUCCAAUCUCCCCUAUGAAUUUUUGUUCUAAGAUAAGUAAAGCGGAUGCUUUUGGGCAAUUCCCAUUAUUCCUUCAAUUUCUAUACCUUCUACUGUUAAAAGUGCAA
This is an RNA transcript of Malania oleifera, 1933 nucleotides long. RefSeq lists it as uncharacterized. The transcript is spliced from 11 exons. Lineage: Eukaryota; Viridiplantae; Streptophyta; Magnoliopsida; Santalales; Ximeniaceae. The record is from RefSeq and is a predicted model, not a curated record.